CCUACGGGAGGCAGCAGUGGGGAAUAUUGCACAAUGGGGGAAACCCUGAUGCAGCGACGCCGCGUGAGGGAUGAAGUAUUUCGGUAUGGAAAGCUCUAUCAGCAGGGAAGAAAAUGACGGUACCUGACUAAGAAGCCACGGCUAACUACGUGCCAGCAGCCGCGGUAAUACGUAGGGGGCAAGCGUUAUCCGGAUUGACUGGGUGUAAAGGGAGCGUAGACGGCUGUGCAAGCCAGAUGUGAAAGCCCGGGGCUCAACCCCGGGACUGCAUUUGGAACUGUGUGGCUGGAGUGUCGGAGAGGCAUGCGGAAUUCCUAGUGUAGCGGUGAAAUGCGUAGAUAUUAGGAGGAACACCAGUGGCGAAGGCGGCCUGCUGGACGAUGACUGACGUUGAGGCUCGAAAGCGUGGGGAGCAAACAGGAUUAGAUACCCGAGUAGUC
This 440-nucleotide ribosomal RNA is filed under the name uncultured bacterium. RNAcentral describes it as "partial 16S ribosomal RNA". It matches the Rfam family "Bacterial small subunit ribosomal RNA", at positions 338 to 795 of the family's 1533-position model. The record is from RNAcentral.